Tribolium castaneum (red flour beetle) is the source of this 1179-nucleotide long non-coding RNA. RefSeq lists it as uncharacterized. The transcript is spliced from 2 exons. NCBI's taxonomy places the organism in Eukaryota, Metazoa, Arthropoda, Insecta, Coleoptera, Tenebrionidae. The record is from RefSeq and is a predicted model, not a curated record.
ACUAUUUUAUUAGGCAUGAAUGUUUAAUAUUUGCUGCUUUCAUCCAAAACAAACCAUUUACGAAUGAGAUUUCGCGAGAAGUGACACGAAAAAAUAAAAAAGUUUCUCGGAAGUUACUAGUUUAUGAAGUUUGUGCUGGCAUUCACAUUUGCACUUAAUAAUUCACGGUAGCCUCCAGAUCACUAUCUAAUUUCUUCGCGCAAACGUCGUUAUCUGGCAUCUUUGAUUCCGGCGGGGCUGAGGUAAAAUUCGAUCUCGUUUAAUGUUAAUUAUUAUGAAUUUGUGUACACUCCGAUCGACAGAGCGAUUUACAUUAGUGAGGUUGCAAGGGGCUUGUUACCUUAGGGUCGUUGUUGUGUAGACUAAAGCUAAAGCAAACUAUUUCAGGUAUAGGUGGAUAAUAAAUAAGGUCGACAUUCGUCAAUAUUUGAAAGAUGACAUGGCCGAGAUUGUGUACGGAUCUGUAUCGAAAUACGGUUUCGGUCUGCGAGGGUAUUUAUUUGAUUUAUACCCAUUUCCUAGCGGAGAAAACAUGAAUCAUACGUGGUUAGAAAAUGAGAUCUUACUUAUUCUACACUACAUAAUACCCUGGAAGAGCAUUUACGUGUUUCACCCUAUCCGUACUUCACUGGGAAGACAUUUCAAAGCCCAAGUGCCACAAGGAGCUCCAUUAGCGAAGCGAAAAACGCUCAAUGAUUGCACGGACCUAACAAAUCGGCAAACUUUGAAUCCUAUCCAUAAUGAAACUGAAAAAAGAAGAAAUAUCGUCCGACUUUUCCUGAUAAAUGGUUUGACUUUUGUUCUGAUUACUACUGGCCGAGCCACAAAGGACUCCUGGAAAUAAGAUAUGGCAAAGAUUUGUUCCCGAUCGCAUCAUAUUUAUCAAUGAAAAUUUUUACAGGGCGACUAAAUGACCCGAAAAUACUUCACUACUUUGCUCUCUUUAUGAAAUUAUACGAGAAAAAACGGAGCAGACAAUAAAUCACAGUGUCCCAGGUCUUUCGCCACUGUUGUGUCUAUAAACAAAAUGUUAUGAAUUAAUUAUUCAACCUCUGUAAGAUAUUCUUGUUUGUAAACUACUGUUACAACAUAAAUUACGCAUGUUAAAGAGCUUACCGAACACUUUGAUGGCUUGUACCUACGCUAAUAAAACUUGCAUAGUGUCAUUUGAUUCGUUCA